RNAcentral lists this ribosomal RNA (1329 nucleotides) under uncultured euryarchaeote. RNAcentral's name for it is "bacterial SSU rRNA". It matches the Rfam family "Archaeal small subunit ribosomal RNA". The record is from RNAcentral. Lineage: Archaea; Methanobacteriati; Methanobacteriota.
GGAGGUCACCGCUAUUGGGGUCCGACUAAGCCAUGCGAGUCGAGAGGGUUCGGCCCUCGGCGUACGGCUCAGUAACACGUGGAUAACCUACCCUUGGGUGGGGGAUAACCUCGGGAAACUGAGGAUAAUACCCCAUAGGCCCGGUAUGCUGGAACGCUUCCGGGCUGAAAGCCCCGGCGCCCAAGGAUGGGUCUGCGGCCUAUCAGGUUGUAGUGGGUGUAACGGACCCACUAGCCUUCGACGGGUACGGGCUGUGAGAGCAGUAGCCCGGAGAUGGACUCUGAGACACGAGUCCAGGCCCUACGGGGCGCAGCAGGCGCGAAACCUUCGCAAUGCGCGAAAGCGCGACGAGGGGACCCCAAGUGCCCAUGCACUGCAUGGGCUGUUCGUGUGCCUAAAAAGCACACGGAGGAAGGGCUGGGCAAGACGGGUGCCAGCCGCCGCGGUAAUACCCGCAGCCCGAGUGGUGACCGCUAUUAUUGAGCCUAAAGCGUCCGUAGCCGGCCUCGUAAAUCCUUGGGGAAAUCGGACCGCUUAACGGUUCGAAGUCCGGGGACACUGCGAGGCUUGGGACCGGGAGAGGUCGGAGGUACUCCAGGGGUAGGGGUGAAAUCCUGUAAUCCUUGGAGGACCACCAGUGGCGAAGGCGUCCGACCAGAACGGAUCCGACGGUGAGGGACGAAGCCCUGGGGCGCAAACCGGAUUAGAUACCCGGGUAGUCCAGGGUGUAAACGCUGCAGACUUGGUGUUGGGGAUCCUACGAGGAUGCCCAGUGCCGGAGAGAAGUUGUUAAGUCUGCCGCUUGGGGAGUACGGCCGCAAGGCUGAAACUUAAAGGAAUUGGCGGGGGAGCACCGCAACGGGAGGAGCGUGCGGUUCAAUUGGAUUCAACGCCGGACAACUCACCGGGGGCGACGGUCACAUGAAGGCCAGGCUGAUGACCUUGCCUGAUUGACCGAGAGGUGGUGCAUGGCCGCCGUCAGUUCGUACCGUAGGGCGUUCUGUUAAGUCAGAUAACGAACGAGACCCUCGCCCUUAGUUGCCACCCCUUCCUCCGGGAAGGGAGCACAUUAAGGGGACCGCUGGCGCGAAGCCAGAGGAAGGAGAGGUCAACGGUAGGUCCGUAUGCCCCGAAUCCCCCGGGCUACACGCGCGCUACAAAGGGCAGGACAAAGGGUUCCGACACCGAAAGGUGAAGGUAAUCCCGAAACCUGUCCGUAGUUCGGAUCGAGGGCUGUAACCCGCCCUCGUGAAGAUGGAUUCCGUAGUAAUCGCGGGUCAACAUCCCGCGGUGAAUACGCCCCUGCUCCUUGCACACACCGCCCGUCAA